CAUGGAGAAGAGAUAACCCUUUAGUUCUAGUGGGGAGAGAAACUCCCCAACCUCAGGGCUACCUCUGAGCAAACCCAGAAUCCAUGGGACGGUGUUAAGAUCUCCAGAAAGCGAAGUCUGGUCUAGUCUGCACUGCUCAUUCUUCUACAUCAACAGGGAUCAAGUGGGGAAAACGGAACAACAUUGGCAGAAGAUGUUAGCAGGUCUGCAAUGUCAGAAUAGUUACUCUCAGUUGUUAAGGUCUGGCCAUAAUGUGUUCCCUACAAGCCUGUGCCCCAGAGAAGUGGUAGUGGUGCUGGUGGUAUUAGCAGUAUCAGCUGCAGCAGCAGCACCACUAGCAGCACUAGCAGCACCACUAGCAGUAGCACCAACACCAGCACCAGCAGCCUCACCAGCAGCAGCACCUGCACCAGCACCAGCAGCACUAGCACCAGUAGCACCAGCACCAGCACCAGUAGCACCAGCAGCAGCAGCACCACUAGCAGCACCAGCACCAACACUACCAGCAGCAGCAGCAGCAGCAGAACCAGUACCAGCACCAGCAGCACUAGCACCAGCAGCACCAGCACCAGCAGCAGCAGCAGCAGCAGCACCAAUACCAGCACCAGCAGCACCAAAACCAGUACCAGCACCAGCAGCACUAGCACCAGCAGCAGCACCACCAGCACCAGCAGCACUAGCACCAGUAGCACCAGCACCAGCACCACCAGCAGCAGCAGCAGCAGCACCAGAACCAGUACCAGCACCAGCACCAGCAGCAGCAGCAGCACCACCAGCAGCAGCAGCACCAGCACCAUCAGCACCAGCAGCACUAGCACCAGUAGCACCAGCACCAGCACCAGUAGCACCAGCAGCAGCAGCACCACUAGCAGCACCAGCACCAACACUACCAGCAGCAGCAGCAGCAGCAGCAGCAGCAGCAGCAGCAGCAGCAGAACCAGUACCAGCACCAGCAGCACUAGCACCAGCAGCACCAGCACCAGCACCAGCACCAGAACCAGCAGCAGCAGCAGCAGCAGCACCAAUACCAGCACCAGCAGCACCAAUACCAGCACCAGCAGCACCAAAACCAGUACCAGCACCAGCAGCACUAGCACCAGCACCAGCACCACCAGCACCAGCAGCACUAGCACCAGUAGCACCAGCACCAGCACCACCAGCAGCAACAGCAGCACCAGAACCAGUACCAGCACCAGCAGCAGCAGCAGCAGCAGCACCACUAGCAGCAGCAGCACCAGCACUACCAGCAGCAGCAGCACCAGCAUCAAUACCAGCACCAGCAGAACUACUAGCAGCAGCAGCAGCAGCAGCACCAGCACCAGCACCAAUACCAGCACCAGCAGCACCACUAGCAGCAGCAGCACCAGCAGCACCAGCACCAGCAGCAGCACCAGAACCAGUACCAGCACCAGCAGCAGCAGCAGCACCAGCACUACCAGCAGCAGCAGCACCAGCACCAGCACCAGCACCAAUACCAGCACCAGCAGAACUACUAGCAGCAGCAGCAGCACCAGCACCAGCAGCAUCACUAGCAGCAGCAGCACCAGCACUACCAGCAGCACCAGCACCAGCAGCAGCACCAGCACCAAUACCAGCACCAGCAGAACUACUAGCAGCAGCAGCAGCACCAGCACCAGCAGCAGCAACAGCACCAGCAAAACUACUAGCAGCAGCAGCAGCAGCAGCACCAGCAGCAGCACCAGCAGCAUCACUAGCAGCAGCAGCACCAGCACUACCAGCAGCAGCAGCACCAGCACCAAUACCAGCACCAGCAGAACUACUAGCAGCAGCAGCAGCACCAGCACCAGCAGCAGCACCAGCAGCAGCAGCAGCAGCGCCACUAGCAGCAGCAGCACCAGCACUACCAGCAGCAGCAGCAGCAGCACCAGCACCAGCACCAAUACCAGCACCAGCAGAACUACUAGCAGCAGCAGCAGCACCAGCACCAGCACCAAUACCAGCACCAGCAAAACUACUAGCAGCAGCAGCAGCAGCAGCAGCAGCAGCAGCACCAGCAGCAGCAGCAGCAGCAGCAUCACCACUAGCAGCAGCAGCACCAGCACUACCAGCAGCAGCAGCACCAGCAGCAGCACCAGCACCAAUACCAGCACCAGCAGAACUACUAGCAGCAGCAGCAGCAGCAGCACCAGCACCAGCAGCACCACUAACAGUACUAGCAUCAGCACUACCAGCAGCAGCAGCAGCAGCAGCACCAGCACCAGCACCAACACCAAUACCAGCACCAGCAAAACUACUAGCAGCAGCAGCAGCACCAGCACCAGCACCAAUACCAGCACCAGCAAAACUACUAGCAGCAGCAGCAGCACCAGCACCAGCAGCACCACUAGCAGCAGCAGCAGCACCAGCACCAGCAGCAGCACCAGCAGCAGCAGCAGCAGCACCACUAGCAGCAGCAGCACCAGCACUACCAGCAGAAGCAGCAGCACCAGCACCAAUACCAGCACCAGCAGCACCACUAACAGCACUAGCAUCAGCACUACCAGCAGCAGCAGCAGCAGCAGCAGCAGCACCAGCACCAACACCAAUACCAGCACCAGCAGAACUACUAGCAUCAGCAUCAGCACCAGCACCAGCACCACUAGCAGCAGCAGCAGCACCACUAGCAGCAGCAGCACCAGCACUACCAGCAGCACCAGCAGCAGCACCAGCACCAGCACCAAUACCAGCACCAGCAGCACCACUAGCAACAGCAGCAGCAGCACCAGAACCAGUACCAGCAUCAGCAGCACUAGCACCAGCAGCACCAGCACCAGCACCAGAACCAGCACCAACAGCAGUAGCACCCAACAGCAGCCAGCAUUUAUAAAUCACUUUUAAAAAAUUAUUCAAUUUGAUCUUCAUUGAAACCUUGUAAGGUGAGUGUUCAUGUGAACUUUUGAUAAAUUCAAUAUUUUUAAAUAUAAUUUGUUGCAAAUGUGUUAUAUCUUCCUAUUAAACUGUAAAUUCCCAUGAAGGUAAAGGACCACAUAUUACAUAUUAUUGUAUUUCCCCUUCUUCCUACUAUACUGUUGAACAAAAGUUUUUGCACACAUUAACUGUUGUUUGUUGAAAACCUAAAAACAAUAUGAACUAGUUGGAAAAAGAAAAUAGGAUUAAUUCCUUCCCUUCCCUCAUAGCUUCUUCGUCCCUUUUACCUCUCCUUCCUGCCUCAUCAACUCUUUAUAUAUGCUAUUUUCAACCUUCUACUCUCUCAUAUCCAUUUCAUGGAUCCUCCUUAAAGUAAGCAACAAGGGAUCCCUUCUAAAAUCCCUCCCAGCUUUAAAUGUACAAUGCUGUGAUCCAGCCUCAGUUAAAGGCCAUAUGUGACACAUGCUCAACCCUGUCAUAGUUAUAAAUAAACAGAAAUGUCUAUUUCUAGGAAGUUCAAGAGGGUUCCCCUCCAGGGUCAGGGCUGGGAGCUACUGUGAUUGAAUGCGGAUCUUUAGCUGUGGGCGUGGGUUUUUAUGUACAUUGUGUAUCUGUAGGGCACAAAAUGACCUCUAAGGCACCUUGCAACUCUGUAUAAUCCAUGGAUCUAGCUAAGGGCAAGUUUGUUCACAGAUAAAUUAGCUUACCCUCUGUGUACUUGUUUUCUCCUUUUGUAAAAUGCAUAAUAAUAAUACCUGCAAUUUUUAUUUAGCAAGAUUGUUGUAAAGACAAAAAGAAAUAAAGCGCAUAUAGUGGGGCCAUUCCCUUCUCUUCUGACAUGGAUUCUGGUUCCAGGCUACCAUGUGGUUGGAACUGGGGGGAAGAAGGACUGAUUCCAGUCAUGUAUGAGUCAUUGCUGAGAAACUUGCACUAGAAGAUGACUAUGAGCCUACAUAUUGACUGAGGACUAGAGAAAUUAAUGUCUUAGUAGAUGUACAAAAGGGAGUACAGGUUGGUCUCUCUCUCUCUCUCUUUUUCCAGCUGUAUCUGAGAGUUGGGUGGCUGGUUUCCAUAAUACUGGCUGCCAUCACAUGACAAUCAAAGUACCUAUAUCUCUCCCCCACUAGCCGGGGUCUGAGCUGCCUCUUUUGGGCUAACUCUUGAUUUUAAUCAUGUAAGUAUCCAAUUUGAAAUAAUGUUCAGGACUGCUCCUGAUCUUAUGUAUUUGAGAGGUCAGGAUGCCCUGAAGUCUCCCAUUUUGAAGUUUUAUGGGGGAGUAUCCCCAGCAAUUACUGAAGUGCUC
RNAcentral lists this long non-coding RNA (4171 nucleotides) under Sarcophilus harrisii (Tasmanian devil). RNAcentral describes it as "lncRNA (ENSSHAG00000021752.1)". Lineage: Eukaryota; Metazoa; Chordata; Mammalia; Dasyuromorphia; Dasyuridae. The record is from RNAcentral.